Molecule: small RNA, 2376 nt
Filed under: Ixodes scapularis (black-legged tick)
Lineage: Eukaryota; Metazoa; Arthropoda; Arachnida; Ixodida; Ixodidae
Description: uncharacterized LOC115327119
Source: RNAcentral
UAUCACGGCGAAAUAUUACGUCCACAUUUUAUAAACAGUGUUUGAACUUAGCGUUUCUUGGGGUGCCUGGAACGACUAUGCGACACCGUUGCCCAGCUUGAGCAACAAAACGUCACAAUAAGACCUGUGUAAUGUUGAGUAUGUACUGUAUUCUAUAUUGUGUUGCAAUAAUAAAAAGUAAAUUAUGAAAAUAGUAAGGAAGUUACUGGCGUUCUAAAACUAAUUCGGAAGUACUAUAUCACGUGAUCGCAGGGAAGUUUCGUUUUCAAAGAGAUUCGAGACUUCCGUCGUCCGGCAACCAUAGCAGCGCCGGCUCGCCGCGUCCCCGCUCCUGUCGCCCCGUCGUCUGCUCGCCGCUGCGCAUUUUCUGUGCGGGGCAAGUUUCGGUUGUUGUGUGUGCUUGGCGUCGUUGGCGUCUGUUGUGUGCGCGCUUCAGCACUUGCCAUGCCGACCGUGUGUCUUGUGAGAGAGUGCAGCACGAGGUAUGGUAAAACGAACGACAUUCGGUUCCAUAAGUUACCGGACCAUCCACAGCGAAGAUCGGCCUGGCUUCGAGCCAUUGACCGCGAUGGCCCGGACAACAUCGGUAGGAGCCAGGGCUACCUGUGUUCCCAUCACUUUUUAACUGGGGACUACGAUAUGAACAUUGAAGUGCGGCGAAGCCUUGGCCUGGACACGAAACGGGCGCGUCUCAAGCCAGAUGCCGUGCCCACACAACAUCUCUGGUUCGACGCACCGCCAAAAAAACGAAGGUCUGAGGAUCUCAGCGGCUCACCGGACGUCGUUGACAUGAUCGUCGAAGAAGGUCCGAUUCCAAGUUGAACAGUAGACGGCUGGACACAAACGACCAGAAACGCCGUCACAGCUCUCUGCCAGACUCACGGGGGAGACGUCCAAACACAGUGUAAGGUUGUCAUUUUUAGUCUGGUGCAACAAUUUCCUUUAAGACGUGAUAGCAACAUUGAAGAGGUCCUCCCGGAGAAUGAAAGAAAGUUCAUCGUGUUUGAGACAUCUCUAAAAGAACUCUUCAGGGUGUGCCGGAAAUGCCAUGCACCAUGCGAGAGUGUGUCGAAGGUGUCGGGGACACUGCUGAAAGUGCAGACGCUCUGCGUGAACAGUCACUGUCUUCUGUGGAAGAGCCAACCGAUUCUACACGGCAAGCCAGCGGGCAGCGUACUGAUGUCGGCAGCAAUACUUUUCACCGGGACGAGCCCCACCAGCGUGCUACGAGUACUCAAACAUAUCAACGUGCAGGUGUUUGGAGCCCGAACGUUCUUCAAUUAUCAGCGCGGAUACUUGCUUCCCGCAAUCAACAAGAUCUGGCAACAACAGCAGGACGAGCUGUUCGGUGAACUGGUGGGCCACGAGGUAGACCUCGCUGGUGACGGGCGGUACGACUCGCCUGGCUUCUGUGCGAAAUACAUGACUUACUCCUUGCACGCCGCUCAGGUGAAGAAGAUUCUCCACUUCGAGCAAGUGCAAGUUGGGGAGUGUGCAGAGGCUAAAUCCAGCACUGCCAUGGAAAAACAUGGAUUUAUCAAGUGCCUGGAAAAGGUGAAGGGGCAGGGGCUCAAGGUCGCGUCUGUGACCACGGACAGACAUGUCCAAGUGACGAAGUACAUGCGUACGGAGGAGCCCAUGAUCCGACACUACUUCGACGGCUGGCACAUUUCAAAAGGCAUCAAGAAGAAGCUGGCUGCUCAAACGAAGCGUGCUGGAUGUGGCAUGCUCGAAGUCUGGAUCCAGCCAGCCAGCAACCAUCUCUUCUGGUGUGCUGCCAUCUGUGACGGCAACCAAGACUUGCUCGUCGACAUGUGGCGGAGCAUACAAGCCCAUGUCGCAAACAUACACGAGGGCCACCCAGGUCUCUACUCACACUGUGCCCAUGAUGACCUCGGAGACAGGCAAUGGCUCGCCCCUGGCACACGAGCACAUGACAAGUUCGUUGAGGUUACCAUGGCACCACGUCUACUCAAGAAUAUUCGGCAGCUGGCCCCUUCCACACACACAUUCAGCCUGGAGUCCUUCCAUAGUGUGCUGAACGGGUUUGCGCCCAAGUCUGUGUCCUUCUCCCCCAACGGCAUGCGUGCAAGAACACAACUGGCAAUAUUGCACUUCAACGAGAAUGCGAACAACCCGCAAGCGAUCACUGCUGAUGGAUUGCCUCAGUGGAAGAUCUCGUAUCCGAAAUCAAAAAAGGGAAUGGCUGUUGCCCGUCCCAAGCAAGCUGGCCCCUCGUACAACUAUGUCAACCUGCUGCUGAAAGAAACGACAAACUGCUGCAAAAUGUGGCCAUCGUUCAAGGUAGCUUUCGCAGCAAACCCCUCCACCGCCCCCCCCCACCCAUGAGCCACUCCUUCCCAAGGCCUUCGAAGA